CAAUAGCGUAUAUUUAAGUUGUUGCAGUUAAAAAGCUCGUAGUUGGAUUUCGGUUGAGAACGGCCGGUCCGCCGUUUGGUGUGCACUGGCUGGUCUCAACUUCCUGUAGAGGACGCGCUCUGGGUUAACGCUCGGACGCGGAGUCUACGUGGUUACUUUGAAAAAAUUAGAGUGUUUAAAGCAGGCUAUUGCUCUGAAUACAUUAGCAUGGAAUAAUGGAAUAGGACUUUGGUUCUAUUUUGUUGGUUUUCGGAACCGAAGUAAUGAUUAAUAGGGACAGUUGGGGGCAUUCGUAUUUAAUUGUCAGAGGUGAAAUUCUUGGAUUUAUGAAAGACGAACUUCUGCGAAAGCAUCUGCCAAGGAUGUUUUCAUUAAUCAAGAACGAAAGUUAGGGGCGCGAAGAUG
Molecule: ribosomal RNA, 405 nt
Filed under: uncultured eukaryote
Lineage: Eukaryota
Description: bacterial SSU rRNA
Rfam family: Eukaryotic small subunit ribosomal RNA
Source: RNAcentral